Molecule: long non-coding RNA, 698 nt
Filed under: Nicotiana tabacum (common tobacco)
Lineage: Eukaryota; Viridiplantae; Streptophyta; Magnoliopsida; Solanales; Solanaceae
Description: long non-coding RNA (NTAB_LNC008689)
Source: RNAcentral
UCCCUUCAGUUAGCAUUAGGGUUCUAAACCCUAAACUAAACCUUUAUCCAUUCAGCCAGCAUUAGGGUUUUAAACCUUAAACUGAGCUUUUCCAUGAUAUCAGCAUUAGGGUUUUAAACCCUAAACUGAACUUUUCCUUUAGUCAGCAUUAGGGUUUUAAACCCUAAACUGAACUUUUUUCCAUUCAGCCAGCAUUAGGGUUUUAAACCCUAAACUAAACUUUUCUAUGCAAUUGGCAUUAGGGUUUUAAACCCUAAACUGAAUUUUCCCUUCAGUUAGCAUUAGGGUUCUAAACCCUAAACUAAACUUUUAUCCAUUCAGCCAGCAUUAGGGUUUUAAACCUUAAACUGAGCUUUUCCAUGAUAUCAGCAUUAGGGUUUUAAACCCUAAACUGAAUUUUCCCUUUAGUUAGCAUUAGGGUUUUAAACCCUAAACUGAACUUUUUCCCUUCAGCCAGCAUUAGGGUUUUAAACCCUAAACUGAGCUUUUUCCAUUCAGCCAGCAUUAGUGUUUUAAACCCUAAACUGAGCUUUUCCAUGCAGUCAGCAUUAGGGUUUUAAACUCUAAACUGAAUUUCUCCUUUUAGUCAGCAUUAGGGUUUUAAACCCUAAACUGAACUUUUCCUUUAGUCAACAUUAGGGUUUUAAACCCUAAACUGAACUUUUUCCAUUCAGCUAGCAUUAGAGUUUUAAACCAUA